ACAAACACAUCCGCGGAGAUAUCCUUCAAGCAAAUGAGCAACAUACAGGUUUCAAUGGAAUGAACCAGGAUUUAUUUACUUACAGGUAAAAAUAGCUCUAGCAUUGAGAUCCAACAAAAAUCAACUCAUUGUUCCCCAUUUCUCGGAAAACAAACACAUAAUUGACAGAUAGAGAAAUAGAAAUAGGAGGAAGGGUGUAGCUACGUACCUUGCUUGGCGACUCUGCACUAG
RNAcentral lists this unclassified non-coding RNA (231 nucleotides) under Hevea brasiliensis (rubber tree). The record is from RNAcentral. Lineage: Eukaryota; Viridiplantae; Streptophyta; Magnoliopsida; Malpighiales; Euphorbiaceae.